UCCUGAUCUGAAGAAAGCUCAGUCUUUCCUU
This 31-nucleotide non-coding RNA is filed under the name Mus musculus (house mouse). Lineage: Eukaryota; Metazoa; Chordata; Mammalia; Rodentia; Muridae. The record is from RNAcentral.